AGCUUUGCGCAGUGGCAGUAUCGUAGCCAAUGAGGUUUAUCCGAGGCGCGAUUAUUGCUAAGUGAAAACUUUUCCUAAAGUUGAAAUAUUAUAAAGUUAACAAUAGAGUUUUAAUAUUAAAUUCUGCAUUCUAUUUUACCUCUCACAAUUAA
Molecule: small nuclear RNA, 152 nt
Filed under: Panthera leo (lion)
Lineage: Eukaryota; Metazoa; Chordata; Mammalia; Carnivora; Felidae
Description: U4 spliceosomal RNA (ENSPLOG00000008557.1)
Rfam family: U4 spliceosomal RNA
About the family: U4 small nuclear RNA (U4 snRNA) is a component of the major U2-dependent spliceosome. The structure of U4 snRNA from yeast and human has been reported. U4 snRNA presents a k-turn RNA motif in the 5p-SL related to recognition of Snu13 protein.
Source: RNAcentral